RNAcentral lists this transfer RNA (67 nucleotides) under Junonia artaxia. RNAcentral's name for it is "tRNA-Phe". Lineage: Eukaryota; Metazoa; Arthropoda; Insecta; Lepidoptera; Nymphalidae. RNAcentral also lists the same sequence under 1 other name. The record is from RNAcentral.
AUUUAAAUAGCUUAAUUUUGAGAGUAUAAUAUUGAAGAUAUUAUGGUGAUUAAUAAAUCUUUAAAUA